AGAACGAACGCUGGCGGCGCGUUUUAAGCAUGCAAGUCGAACGGUAACCAUCCUUCGGGAUGGCUAGAGUGGCGAACGGGUGAGUAACACGUAGGUGAUCUGCCCUUGAGUUGGGGAUAGCCCAUGGAAACAUGGGGUAACUCCGAAUACGCUCGCGACCCUGUGGGGAUGUGAGGAAAAGCGCUUCGGCGCUGCUCGAGGAUGAGCCUGCGGCUGAUUAGUUGGUUGGUGGGGUAACGGCCUACCAAGGCGACGAUCAGUAGCCGGCCUGAGAGGGUGAGCGGCCACACUGGGACUGAGAUACGGCCCAGACUCCUACGGGAGGCAGCAGCUAAGAAUCUUCUACAAUGGACGAAAGUCUGAUAGAGCGACGCCGCGUGGGUGAUGAAGGCCGGAAGGUUGUAAAGCCCUUUUCUAUUCGAGGAAUAAGGUGUGGAGGCAAUGCCACACUGAUGACGGUAGGGUAGGAAUAAGCCCCGGCCAAUUACGUGCCAGCAGCCGCGGUAACACGUAUGGGGCGAGCGUUGUUCGGAAUCAUUGGGCGUAAAGGGCGCGUAGGCGGAUAUGCAAGCUUGGUGUGAAAGACCGCAGCUCAACUGCGGGAGCGCGCUGAGAACUGCAUAUCUUGAGUUCAAGAGGGGAAGCUGGAAUUCCAGGUGUAGGGGUGAAAUCUGUAGAUAUCUGGAAGAACAUCAGUGGCGAAGGCGAGCUUCUGGCUUUGAACCGACGCUGAGGCGCGAAAGCGUGGGGAGCGAACAGGAUUAGAUACCCUGGUAGUCCACGCUGUAAACGAUGUGCACUAGGUGUUGGGCCGUUGAAGGCUCAGUGCCGUAGCUAACGC
RNAcentral lists this ribosomal RNA (841 nucleotides) under uncultured organism. Its description in RNAcentral is "bacterial SSU rRNA". It matches the Rfam family "Bacterial small subunit ribosomal RNA", at positions 26 to 858 of the family's 1533-position model. The record is from RNAcentral.